Esox lucius (northern pike) is the source of this 710-nucleotide long non-coding RNA. RefSeq lists it as uncharacterized. The record is from RefSeq and is a predicted model, not a curated record. Lineage: Eukaryota; Metazoa; Chordata; Actinopteri; Esociformes; Esocidae. The transcript is spliced from 3 exons.
CGCAGUGUUAUUGGAUUGGUUAUACCACACGUGUAAAUAGGCAAUCAACACUAUACGCGGUAGAAAGACAUGGAAAAGAGGAACGGCGAGAGAUGCAUGUAUGGACCCCGGAGUUGAAUGCGACAGCUACUGUUAAUUACAUGCAAUUAACCAAGGAAAUCACCAUGGCUUGAUCUGAACUGCUAUUAGUUGGGAUUGUCCAGCGUCUGUCUGACUGUCUCAUUUGACUAAUUCAUCAGAGUGAGCCUGAGCCGGGGGCAGGAGAGAGUCAGGCUGAUACAGAGAUGUAAGAGAGGACGCUGAGGGAUAAUGAGUCCCUACCAGGCGAAUGACGGGUGGAGGAGAACAGAACCCUGGAGAGAAGCACGCUCCACAAAGUUUUUCUCCAAUUACACUUGGAUGGGAGGCUCCCUCCUUCCUACGACUCCCCAUGGUAAUCACCGAGGAAGGGCCAACUGGCCCCACUGUGCCCCUACUGUUGCAGAGUGGAGGCCUCGUGUGUUCACCGUCUGUUACAGGGGAGUUCGGGCGGAGUCCAGGAAAUCAGACUGCGGAGGAGUUAGUCAUGAAACUAUCACGGUGGUAAACACGGAAUUAAUAGCACUUAUUGAUAUCCUUAUGUCGGGCUUGAGGCAGAAAGCAAAUUGCGUAAAAAAGGCCUGUUUGAAACUACCUAUAAAUCUGGUGGUAUCUGCUGCAUUUGCAACGUU